This 253-nucleotide ribosomal RNA is filed under the name uncultured bacterium. RNAcentral describes it as "partial 16S ribosomal RNA". It matches the Rfam family "Bacterial small subunit ribosomal RNA", at positions 524 to 776 of the family's 1533-position model. The record is from RNAcentral.
UACAGAGGGGGCAAGCGUUAUUCGGAAUUAUUGGGCGUAAAGAGCUUGUAGGCGGUUUGUCGCGUCUGCCGUGAAAAUUCGAGGCUCAACCUCGAACUUGCGGUGGGUACGGGCAGACUAGAGUGUGGUAGGGGAGACUGGAAUUCCUGGUGUAGCGGUGAAAUGCGCAGAUAUCAGGAGGAACACCGAUGGCGAAGGCAGGUCUCUGGGCAUUAACUGACGCUGAGGAGCGAAAGCAUGGGGAGCGAACAGG